Long non-coding RNA from Portunus trituberculatus (swimming crab), 1097 nucleotides. RefSeq lists it as uncharacterized. Lineage: Eukaryota; Metazoa; Arthropoda; Malacostraca; Decapoda; Portunidae. The transcript is spliced from 3 exons. The record is from RefSeq and is a predicted model, not a curated record.
GUAGCUCAGGAUGGCAGUGAGAGCAGUAGUACUUCAGACACCACGCCCGCUACAUCUUUCAGUCUCCACGCCACCACCGACCCCUCGAGUCUACGCAGCCCAGUGGCCGUGUGUGUCUUGGCGUUGGGCGUGACGUGCAGCAACGGUGGUAAUAGCAACGGGAAGCUUGAUGCACAGCACAGCACAGCACAGCACAGCACAGCGGAGAGAUUGGUGGUGAGUUGACGAUCCAAAGGCCUGACUCCACAGCGGUAAUGAGCCUUGUGUACCUUGCACUGUCUUCACUGACAACGCCCACUACUAACCCCUCUGCCUCCGCCACCGUUUCAAGAUCAGGGAAGGACUCUGCCUUGCAUCGCGCACUGUGAUGGUCGCCGCCCCCGCCCCCGCACCCGCCGCCGCCGCUGCUGCUGCUGCUGCUGCUGCUGCCGCUAAGGGAGAAUAGUUUGUUGAGUGGAUGACGGCGCGUUCACUGACCCUCUCCCCAUUACCCUACCAACUCCGGCCACCCACCCCCCUGCCACCAGACACCUGCUACACCACCACUACCGCCGGCUCCGUCCAGUGAAAGAUUCAUCGCAGACCUGCCAUUCAACGCCUGCCGCCGCUCAAGAGUGAUGUAGGAGUUGACGAUCCAAAGGCCUGACUCCACAGCGGUAAUGAGCCUUGUGUACCUUGCACUGUCUUCACUGACAACGCCCACUACUAACCCCUCUGCCUCCGCCACCGUUUCAAGAUCAGGGAAGGACUCUGCCUUGCAUCGCGCACUGUGAUGGUCGCCGCCCCCGCCCCCGCACCCGCCGCCGCCGCUGCUGCUGCUGCUGCUGCUGCCGCUAAGGGAGAAUAGUUUGUUGAGUGGAUGACGGCGCGUUCACUGACCCUCUCCCCAUUACCCUACCAACUCCGGCCACCCACCCCCCUGCCACCAGACACCUGCUACACCACCACUACCGCCGGCUCCGUCCAGUGAAAGAUUCAUCGCAGACCUGCCAUUCAACGCCUGCCGCCGCCGCCGCCACCACCACCACCACCUCCUUAUGGUGGUGUCACUGUACCUGGAGCUGUUGUCAUGAUUGAAUAAUAAAUUGUGAAGAAAU